RNAcentral lists this ribosomal RNA (464 nucleotides) under Vreelandella stevensii. RNAcentral describes it as "partial 16S ribosomal RNA". It matches the Rfam family "Bacterial small subunit ribosomal RNA", at positions 338 to 795 of the family's 1533-position model. Lineage: Bacteria; Pseudomonadati; Pseudomonadota; Gammaproteobacteria; Oceanospirillales; Halomonadaceae. The record is from RNAcentral.
CCUACGGGUGGCUGCAGUGGGGAAUAUUGGACAAUGGGCGAAAGCCUGAUCCAGCCAUGCCGCGUGUGUGAAGAAGGCCUUCGGGUUGUAAAGCACUUUCGGUGGGGAAGAAAGCCUUGGGGCUAAUACCCUCGAGGAAGGACAUCACCCACAGAAGAAGCACCGGCUAACUCCGUGCCAGCAGCCGCGGUAAUACGGAGGGUGCGAGCGUUAAUCGGAAUUACUGGGCGUAAAGCGCGCGUAGGCGGUCUGAUAAGCCGGUUGUGAAAGCCCCGGGCUCAACCUGGGAACGGCAUCCGGAACUGUCAGGCUAGAGUGCAGGAGAGGAAGGUAGAAUUCCCGGUGUAGCGGUGAAAUGCGUAGAGAUCGGGAGGAAUACCAGUGGCGAAGGCGGCCUUCUGGACUGACACUGACGCUGAGGUGCGAAAGCGUGGGUAGCAAACAGGAUUAGAUACCCGGUAGUC